AACAUCCCGUUGCCACACACUGACGCACGCAGCUCCCGCCCCCACUCAGCUGGCCAUUUCCCGAGUAUAAUUAGAUCGUAAUUUUCAUUAGAUCAACAUUCAAUAUUUACUUUAUCAUGAAUACAUAAACGCUACCCACAGCCAAGUCGAGAUCAUCCCUGGAUCUUCUGGCUGGGCCAGUCUGCACUGGUUGUUCCCAGGGUCUGUUACAAAGCUGGUGGCUUGAGAUCUCCCUUUACUAUGUUAUUGGAGCUUCCCGUUCCCUUGUUUCGGGGUCCUCUUUGUGCUGGGUGACAUGUCUUCCUUCUUGGUGGAGCAUAUCCUUUGCAGUGGAAUCCUGAGACAGUGCAUGACAGACAAAAUAUGGACACAUGGCACAUAUCUGAAAAUGUCUCCAUUCUGCCCUCACAUUUGAUUGGGAGUUUAGGUGAGUAGAAAAUUCUACCUCGGAAGUAGCUGGCCUUUCUCCAUUGUCUUCUAGCUUCCAGUGCUAUUCUGAUUCCUUGGUAUGAAACUUGUUUAUUUUCUCCGGAACCUUGUAGGAUCCUCUCUUUGUUGCUAAUAUGCUGAAAUGUCAUAAUUUACUUUCUUUGGGUGUUGGUUUUCUUCAUUGAUUAUUCUGGGCACUUAAUGGGCUCUUUCAUUCUGGAAACUCACGUCUAAGACUAGGAAAAUGUUCAUGAAUUAUACCUUUGAUCAGUUGAUUUUUUAGAUAUAUUUUUUAAAAAUAGAGACAGGGUCUCACUAUGUUGCCCAGGCUGGUCUCAAACUCCUGGACUCAAGUAAUCCUCC
This 792-nucleotide long non-coding RNA is filed under the name Homo sapiens (human). RNAcentral describes it as "HSALNT0182904". Lineage: Eukaryota; Metazoa; Chordata; Mammalia; Primates; Hominidae. The record is from RNAcentral.